This 775-nucleotide ribosomal RNA is filed under the name uncultured Neocallimastigales. Its description in RNAcentral is "partial large subunit ribosomal RNA". It matches the Rfam family "Eukaryotic large subunit ribosomal RNA", at positions 29 to 616 of the family's 3401-position model. The record is from RNAcentral. Lineage: Eukaryota; Fungi; Neocallimastigomycota; Neocallimastigomycetes; Neocallimastigales.
CGCAUCUAUGCAUGCAGCAUAUCAAUAAGCGGAGGAAAAGAAACUAACAAGGAUUCCCCUAGUAACGGCGAGUGAAGCGGGAAGAGCUCAAAUUUGAAAUCUUAAAGGGUUUCCCUUUACGAAUUGUAGUUUAAAGGAAGUGUUUUCUGUUGAGGUUUUGGUAAAAGUUCUUUGGAAUAGGACAUCAUAGAGGGUGAGAAUCCCGUAUUUGACCUUUACUUUCAACUUUGUGAUACACUUUCAAAGAGUCGGAUUGUUUGGGAAUGCAGUCCAAAAUGGGUGGUAAAUUUCAUCUAAAGCUAAAUAUUGGCGAGAGACCGAUAGCGAACAAGUACCGUGAGGGAAAGAUGAAAAGAACUUUGAAAAGAGAGUUAAACAGUACGUGAAAUUGUCAAAAGGGAAGCGUUUGACACCAGUGUUGUUUUUCUGAAAAUCAAUUAAAGAACUGUUUAUGCUAAGCUGUUUAGACUUUAUCAGCUAACUGUUUAGUUUUGAGCUUUUCUUUAAUGCACUUUUCAGUUAACAAGUCAACAUCAAUUUCUUUUGCUGUAAAAAAGCUUGAGGAAGGUGGCUUGAGAUUCGUCUUAAGUGUUUAUAGCCUCUUGCCUAUGCAGUCGGAGAGAUUGAGGUCUGCAGCGUAGAUCCUUCGGGGCUAAAUGCAUUUGUGCUAAGUUAUAGCAUUUUAUAGACAACUUGUUGACUAUGAUUUGUCUUGUAGCUUACUCGCUUAUGUUAUUUUACCUACGCUUAGGAUGUUGAGCGCAUGUCUCUCUCU